RNAcentral lists this ribosomal RNA (52 nucleotides) under Ipomoea nil (Japanese morning glory). The record is from RNAcentral. Lineage: Eukaryota; Viridiplantae; Streptophyta; Magnoliopsida; Solanales; Convolvulaceae.
GGAUGCGAUCAUACCAGCACUAAUGCACCGGAUCCCAUCAGAACUCCGAAGU